Molecule: ribosomal RNA, 253 nt
Filed under: uncultured bacterium
Lineage: Bacteria
Description: partial 16S ribosomal RNA
Rfam family: Bacterial small subunit ribosomal RNA
Source: RNAcentral
UACGGGGGGAGCAAACGUUGUUCGGAAUUACUGGGCGUAAAGGGCGCGUAGGCGGCCUUCUAAGUCGAACGUGAAAUCCCCGGGCUCAACCCGGGAACUGCGUCCGAUACUGGAAGGCUUGAAUCCGGGAGAGGGAUGCGGAAUUCCAGGUGUAGCGGUGAAAUGCGUAGAUAUCUGGAGGAACACCGGUGGCGAAGGCGGCAUCCUGGACCGGCAUUGACGCUGAGACGCGAAAGCCAGGGGAGCAAACGGG